CAACCAGUCCAGGGUGUGCUCCGCCUCCCAACCAAAGUCAACCAGGAUCCUUCUUUGGAGUGCUGUGCAAUCGGUGACCUUUGGUAGAAAUUGAGCUCAGGCAGCAAUCAUGUCAUCAGUGAAGGACUAUGCUUGUGUCCGCUGACUGUUUUCUCCUCCAAGGAUUAGCCGGGUGAAGAGAAGGAUGAGAUGGCCCGGAAUGGAGUUUGUGUUCCUUCUUGUAAUGAGGUGGAGACCACCAGAGACUGCUGAGGUGUUUGAACAAAAGGUGGAUGGAUUACAGAACAUGCAGAGGACCUUGAGCAAAGACCGACAUCGUACAAGUGAGGCCGCUGGCAUGUCUGAAUCCUUGGACCGCGUGCGCCGACUCCACCCUAAAUUCCCGGAACCGAAUUUUACGGAUCCCCGUCCGCUCUUACUUGCGGCGCAUCUUAGCGGCUAGGUGACAAAACAUCCUCCCCGAUAUCACCGCCGUAAAGAGCACAAUACAACAGGGUGUUGUUGGUCAGCGCAACAAUGGCAUCGAAAUGAAAGAUGUGACCAAUCCGGUGUGGACACCUGAAGAGGGAGGAGGAGCUUCCAGUGGGUUAUUUACAGCAGCAGGAGAGGCUACAGGAUUAAAUGACAUCGCGGAUGCCCAUAAAACUUGUGAAAGUGAGCCGUGAGCCAAGCAGGAACCCCCUGGCUGCAUUUUGGUACGGAUCGAGAUAAUGGUGUUGAUUAAAAGCUUCUUACUUUUGUAGGGAAUCACACGAAAUCUUAGUGACAAGGCAUACGAAGACGGUGGUGUAAACGUAUGCAUCCAAAUUACAAUUGCUUUGCCUUGGCUGCGGUUGCAUUCCCGCAAGCAUUUUGACGAUACGGAUGCUGAAACUAAAAUGGUCAAAUCAUUAUUUACCAUUGGUGCCAGUCUAUUUUUGCAAAUGAUCAAAAACACACCAAAUUUUUCUUUUUGUUGUUGUUGGGCGAACCCAACAUUUCAAGUCAACAAACGUCGAUAAUAUUUUAAGUUGGGGAGCUCAACAAAAUAUUUUAAGUUUUGCGAAUGUGAAAAUUGGCAUGCCUGUAUAAGACUGUACAGAACUAUUUGUCUUUUGUAUUGUUCCCCCAACUCAAAGAUAGAAUUACAAACAAUUCAGCAAAUGAAUUUUGAAGCAAACAACCUUUGACUGGUUUGUUGUGCUGAUUUCUUGCCAUCAAUUCAAUCUUUUAACAAAGUUCCAAUUCAAGUGACUGUUUUAGUCCCCAAAAAUACAAGUUGUGUUUUUUUACAGUGUAUGAUCCAGAAUUUUCUCUUUAAAAUACUCAA
This is a long non-coding RNA of Hippocampus comes (tiger tail seahorse), 1309 nucleotides long. RefSeq lists it as uncharacterized. The transcript is spliced from 4 exons. Lineage: Eukaryota; Metazoa; Chordata; Actinopteri; Syngnathiformes; Syngnathidae. The record is from RefSeq and is a predicted model, not a curated record.